RNAcentral lists this ribosomal RNA (229 nucleotides) under uncultured bacterium. RNAcentral describes it as "partial 16S ribosomal RNA". It matches the Rfam family "Bacterial small subunit ribosomal RNA", at positions 15 to 236 of the family's 1533-position model. The record is from RNAcentral.
GAUCCUGGCUCAGGACGAACGCUAGCUACAGGCUUAACACAUGCAAGUCGAGGGCAGCAUGGUCUUAGCUUGCUAAGGCCGAUGGCGACCGGCGCACGGGUGAGUAACACGUAUCCAACCUGCCGUCUACUCUUGGACAGCCUUCUGAAAGGAAGAUUAAUACAAGAUGGCAUCAUGAGUCCGCAUGUUCACAUGAUUAAAGGUAUUCCGGUAGACGAUGGGGAUGCCG